UUCGCUUUUUACAUGAGGGAUACUCCUGUGCUUUCGAGCUUGCCACAGAGCUUGUAGCCGCUUGCAUCGACUUCCGCGCACGAGAUGAACUUUCACACCAACCCUUCGACACAGAUUUUCGCACAAAGACGCCUUCAGUCUGCUUGAGUGCACUCAAAAGAUACACGCAAGCUGUUCAGUUCGCUUGAAAGUAACACACGCUCUCGAUAUCUACGAAUGGCUUUCGACAAAGUUUUUCCAGGGUAGCACUCUGUCCGGGUUAUUGAGCAUCUCGACGUCACCGAAGAGGCGCACAUGCAGGCUUUCCUUCUCCACUGAGGUGCAUCAUACACCAUUCCCGCGUUCGAGCCGGCGUGCGGUCGAGGUCUUCCAAGGCUCUGCGCGUGCCUCCUUUGAUUCCAACGCUGCUGUAGCCGCAAGUGCCGUGGAUGGUACAGUUAGGAACACAGACUCUCUUUGUUUUUGGUAUUAACAGGCAUCCGUCCACAUAGCAAGACAGAGGCGACUGGCAAAGCGCGAAAUCGACAAGCCUGAGCGUAGGGAACCCGUCGACGAACCUCGAUGCGCUACUUUUGUUUCGCGAGGGGCAGCGGACAUGAACCACAACAUAAGCUGAUUUCACUAGUAAUUUGACAUUUGCCUGCAGAUGAUGCACGCUCUUCGCUUGACAGAAGGCAUCGACGAUGCCCUUGUUUUCUAUUAGCGGAGCACCGCUACCCCUGAGGGCUUCUAGACCCGACGCCCCGCGAAGCCGUACGCCAGUUGGAUGUGGUAGAUCUGGCAAC
This 785-nucleotide unclassified non-coding RNA is filed under the name Leishmania donovani. Its description in RNAcentral is "gene:unknown". The record is from RNAcentral. Lineage: Eukaryota; Euglenozoa; Kinetoplastea; Trypanosomatida; Trypanosomatidae.